GGUUUAAUUCGAUGAUACGCGAGGAACCUUACCUGGGCUUAAAUGGGGAGUGACAGCUGUCGAAAGAUGGUUUUCUUCGGACACUCUUCAAGGUGCUGCAUGGUUGUCGUCAGCUCGUGCCGUGAGGUGUCGGGUUAAGUCCCAUAACGAGCGCAACCCUUACCGUUAGUUACCAUCAGGUUAAGCUGGGGACUCUAGCGGGACUGCCACCGUAAGGUGAGAGGAAGGUGGGGAUGACGUCAAAUCAGCACGGCCCUUAUGUCCAGGGCUACACACGUGUUACAAUGGCCGGUACAAAGGGCAGCUACUUCGCGAGAAGAUGCUAAUCUCGAAAGCCGGUCUCAGUUCGGAUCGAAGUCUGCAACCCGACUUCGUGAAGCUGGAUUCGCUAGUAAUCGCGCAUCAGCCAUGGCCGCGGUCCGAAUACGUUCCCGGGCCUU
RNAcentral lists this ribosomal RNA (440 nucleotides) under uncultured Sphingobacteriales bacterium. RNAcentral's name for it is "bacterial SSU rRNA". It matches the Rfam family "Bacterial small subunit ribosomal RNA", at positions 943 to 1382 of the family's 1533-position model. Lineage: Bacteria; Pseudomonadati; Bacteroidota; Sphingobacteriia; Sphingobacteriales. The record is from RNAcentral.